This 113-nucleotide transfer RNA is filed under the name Heliconius melpomene (postman butterfly). RNAcentral's name for it is "tRNA-Leu for anticodon CAA". It matches the Rfam family "tRNA". From Rfam's summary of the family: Transfer RNA (tRNA) molecules are approximately 80 nucleotides in length. Their secondary structure includes four short double-helical elements and three loops (D, anti-codon, and T loops). Lineage: Eukaryota; Metazoa; Arthropoda; Insecta; Lepidoptera; Nymphalidae. The record is from RNAcentral.
GUCAGGAUGGCCGAGCGGUCUAAGGCGCCAGACUCAAGGUACCCUUGCCUACGCAGUAGGUUGAGUUGAUCUGGUCCUCUCUGAGGGCGUGGGUUCGAAUCCCACUUCUGACA